GGGCCUGGAGCACCCCAAUCCUAAAUAUGGGAACGAUACAGAGAAGAUUAGCAUGUCCCUGGGCAAGGAUGACACACAGAUUUGUGAAGCAUUCCAUAUAUAU
Eptesicus fuscus (big brown bat) is the source of this 103-nucleotide small nuclear RNA. NCBI's taxonomy places the organism in Eukaryota, Metazoa, Chordata, Mammalia, Chiroptera, Vespertilionidae. The record is from RefSeq and is a predicted model, not a curated record.